This 1096-nucleotide long non-coding RNA is filed under the name Vitis vinifera (wine grape). RNAcentral's name for it is "long non-coding RNA (VVIN_LNC004759)". Lineage: Eukaryota; Viridiplantae; Streptophyta; Magnoliopsida; Vitales; Vitaceae. The record is from RNAcentral.
UUUGCUUUGAAUUGAUUUCUAAUUGAAUUUUCCUUUUUUCCCCCUUGUCAUGUUUUCAUUUGAGUCCCAGAACCCUAUGAAGGAUCAGACGCCAAGGCCUGGUAUCCACAUUCUAACCCAUGCAACAUGGAUCAUCAUGCAUGACAAAAAAACCAAGUUCAGAUGAUUGACACAACUACAGACAAUCUAUGUUGUGGGGGUUAAGCCACAAGACUAUUAGAUGUCAGAUAAUUCCACUGCUCAUAAGCUUUGCUGCUUACAAAUUUUUUGUACAAGCAGUUGCCACCAAAACUUUUCUAACAUACAAUUUAAACCAAAAAAUCAUGGAGAGACAGACAAGGGAAUGGAUUAUAAGAUUAAAAAAAUACUAAGUCCAAAAGUGGGUCAUGUGUAACAAUGUCAAUGUAACCAACCCAGAAACCUUUUAGCCCCCAAGACUGCAACAAAUUCUAAUGCCAAAGGAAUGGUCAAACCAAUGUUCCAAGGGACAUAAAGUUGUCUACAAGCAACUGAAAUCAUUGUAUAAUUGUGGUCCAAAGAGAUUAAUGUUUUAAGUUCAUACUUUUCAGGUACAGAUUAGUAAAGAAGCUAAGCCUGUUAGUUCUCAGUCCUUUUUUUUUUGGUUGAAACUAACAUAACAUGGUCAGCAUAUGCGAAGAAGAUUUGGAAAGGCAAAGGCAAUAAUUUUGAAAAAUUUUCUCCUCAGUAGUCUAUUUUUUUCUUCUUAAAACUAACAUAACAUGAUUAGCAUGUAUGGAGAAGAUUUGGAAAGCUAAAUACAUAAUUUUGAUUAACAUUGCUUCAUGGUACAUUGCAAGUUGAGUAGGGUCAGCAUGUGUGAAGAAGAUUUGGAAAGGCAAAGACAAUAAUUUUGAAAAUUUUUCUUGCAUUAGUAGUCUAUUUUUUUUUUCUUCCUUAAAACUAACAUAACAUGAUUAACAUGUGUGGAGAAGAUUUGGAAAGUCAUUAGAAGUCUAUUUUUUUUUUCUUCCUUAAAACUAACAUAACAUGAUUACCAUUUGUGGAGAAGAUUUGGAUUUUUUUUCUUCCUUAAAACUAAUAAUAAUAUAACAUGAUUAGUAUGUGGACUUUUUUU